This 487-nucleotide ribosomal RNA is filed under the name uncultured bacterium. RNAcentral's name for it is "bacterial SSU rRNA". It matches the Rfam family "Bacterial small subunit ribosomal RNA", at positions 34 to 518 of the family's 1533-position model. The record is from RNAcentral.
CGCUGGCGGCGUGCUUAACACAUGCAAGUCGAACGAGGAUCAAUUUGGAAAGCUUCGGCCGGAAGGAUUGAUUCGAGUGGCGGACGGGUGAGUAACGCGUGAACAAUCUGUCCCAGACAGGGGGAUAACACUUGGAAACAGGUGCUAAUACCGCAUGAGACCACAGUAUCGCAUGGUACAGAGGUAAAAGGAGCGAUCCGGUUUGGGGUGAGUUCGCGUCCGAUUAGCCAGGUUGGGGGGUAACGGCCCACCAAAGCGACGAUCGGUAGCCGACCUGAGAGGGUGAUCGGCCACAUUGGAACUGAGAGACGGUCCAAACUCCUACGGGAGGCAGCAGUGGGGAAUAUUGGGCAAUGGGCGAAAGCCCUGACCCAGCAACGCCGCGUGAGUGAAGAAGGCCUUCGGGUUGUAAAGCUCUGUUACAGGUGACGAAGGAAGUGACGGUAGCUUGUAAGGAAGCCCCGGCUAACUACGUGCCAGCCGCGGC